GCUCAGACGGGAAGAAAAAGCAAAGGCAUGGAGAUUCCUGUCCAAGUCGGGAGUUUCCUCCCCUGCACUACACCGAUGUUUCGGUCGGAUGUAGUCCGAGCACGUACGUUUGAGCUUGCAUCAUGGUGAACUUUGACUAGGUAGGACGUUACCCGAGAAAACUCUGAUGAUUGUUCUGAGAGGUUCUGACGUGAAAAUCGAUAAUCAGAUGCCGGUAUAGUGGGGAAAGAUAAUCUAAUUGAUGAGAGAUUCCCUCCGGGGUUUCGUUUAGAAUAGCUAAGACUCGAAGACAGUUUCAUCCGAUAAUGCGAAUGAUUAUAUGCUUAGGGGCUGAAAUGAACUCAACCUAUUCUGAAACUAAAAGGGCGAAAAGGCCUACUUCGAUCGAAGGCCGGAUGCUUUACUGAGUGUUCAAUGGGUCGCUUUUGGUAAGCAGAACUGGUACUGUGAGAUGAACCAAGCACUGGGUUACGGCACCCGAUGUGAAACCUCUUGAAAGGCGUUGGUUACUCUAAGUAGCAUGGCCUUGGAAGUUGAAAUCUACGAGGAGUAUGUAACAACUUACUGCCGAAGCCACUAGCUCUGAAAAUGAAUGAUGCUCCUACUUCGAGCCCAUAACCGGUCACUAUCACAGAUGUCUCGCCGGAUUUAAGCGGCAGUGAGUUGGAGUGUCGCAGCGAAGAACGUUGAAUGGGCUUGGCGGGGACCUACAUGGAGUCUCCACCUUUGCACAUGUUGGGGUGCAAAUGAAUAAUUGAAGAAAAUCUUCAGGACUGAAGCUGGAUUUGAUUUUUUUUUUAUUAACAUCGCUCUCCGAGAUCUGGUAAGAGAAAUCCUUUAAGAAACGAUACUUUGUAAAGUUUGAUUAAUGAUGCUCGUCUCACAGUGAACCGAAAGGGAAUAAGGCCAGUAUUCCUUUACAAGGACAUGAAGUUCUAUGCUUCUAGUGGGGUAAAACACCCGAACUCAGACGUCGGUGGAGGGAGUGAGAAAAAUUGUCUUUUCUUUGUAAUAGGUCGUGUCACUGGAAUCAUUUUGUCCCGAGAUAAGGACAUCAACCUUGUUAGAGCAUCACAGAUGUUCGAUGCCUAGUGCGUCUUUACUGGCCCUUGAAAUUUCGAGGCAGGAGACUGUAGUUUUCGUGC
Trichonephila clavipes is the source of this 1145-nucleotide non-coding RNA. NCBI's taxonomy places the organism in Eukaryota, Metazoa, Arthropoda, Arachnida, Araneae, Nephilidae. The record is from the annotation of a GenBank genome assembly.